AUGCGUUCCGCCGUGCUGCUCUUGCUUGUCUUCGCGGCGGCGCACGCCGCCGCGGUCGUCACCGACGGUCUCCUGCCGAACGGCAACUUCGAGCUGGGUCCGGCCAAGUCGGAGCUGGUGAACGGGACGGUGGUGAAGGGCGGGAAGGCGAUCCCCAAGUGGGAGACGUCGGGCUUCGUGGAGUACAUCGAGUCCGGGCACAAGCAGGGCGACAUGCUGCUGGUGGUGCCGCAGGGCGCCUACGCCGUCCGCCUCGGCAACGAUGCCUCCAUCCUCCAGCGCAUCCCCGUCGCCCGGGGCUCCUACUACGCCAUCACCUUCAGCGCCGCCCGCACCUGCGCGCAGGCCGAGCGCCUCAACGUCUCCGUCAGCCCCGAGUCCGGCGUGCUCCCCAUGCAGACCAUCUACGGCAGCAACGGCUGGGACUCCUACGCCUGGGCCUUCAAGGCCAAGCUCGACGUCGUCGACCUCGUCAUCCACAACCCCGGCGUCGAAGAGGACCCGGCAUGCGGCCCGCUCAUCGACGCCGUCGCCAUCCGCACCCUCUACCCGCCCACGCUCUCCAAGGGCAACAUGCUCAAGAACGGCGGCUUCGAGGAGGGCCCCUACUUCCUCCCCAACGCCUCCUGGGGCGUGCUCGUGCCGCCAAACAUCGAGGACGACCACUCCCCGCUCCCCGCCUGGAUGAUCAUGUCCUCCAAGGCCGUCAAGUACGUCGACGCCGCGCACUUCAAGGUGCCCGAGGGCGCGCGCGCCGUCGAGCUCGUUGGCGGCAAGGAGAGCGCGCUCGUGCAGGAGGUGCGCACCGUGCCCGGCUGGGCCUACCGCCUCUCCUUCGCCGUCGGCGACUCCGCCGACGGCUGCAAGGGCUCCAUGGUGGCCGAGGCCUACGCCGCGCGCUCCACCCUCAAGGUGCCGUACGAGUCCAACGGCGCCGGCGGCUACAAGCGCGCCGUGCUGGACUUCGUCGCCGUCAGAGACCGCACCCGGGUCGUCUUCCAGAGCGCCUUCUACCACAUGAAGGCCGACGGCACGCUCUGCGGGCCCGUCAUCGACGACGCCAAGCUCGUCGGCCUGCGCAAGAAGCCCGCCGCACGUCGCCUCAUGCUCUAA
Molecule: ribosomal RNA, 1113 nt
Filed under: Triticum aestivum (bread wheat)
Lineage: Eukaryota; Viridiplantae; Streptophyta; Magnoliopsida; Poales; Poaceae
Description: partial small subunit ribosomal RNA
Source: RNAcentral